This 385-nucleotide ribosomal RNA is filed under the name uncultured bacterium. RNAcentral describes it as "bacterial SSU rRNA". It matches the Rfam family "Bacterial small subunit ribosomal RNA", at positions 1109 to 1493 of the family's 1533-position model. The record is from RNAcentral.
CCUUUGUUGCCAGCACGUAAUGGUGGGAACUCAAGGGAGACUGCCGGUGAUAAACCGGAGGAAGGUGGGGAUGACGUCAAGUCAUCAUGGCCCUUACGGCCAGGGCUACACACGUGCUACAAUGGCGCGUACAGAGGGCUGCAAGCUAGCGAUAGUGAGCGAAUCCCAAAAAGCGCGUCGUAGUCCGGAUCGGAGUCUGCAACUCGACUCCGUGAAGUCGGAAUCGCUAGUAAUCGCAAAUCAGAAUGUUGCGGUGAAUACGUUCCCGGGCCUUGUACACACCGCCCGUCACACCAUGGGAGUGGGUUGCACCAGAAGUAGAUAGCUUAACCUUCGGGAGGGCGUUUACCACGGUGUGAUUCAUGACUGGGGUGAAGUCGUAACA